CAGCCGCCGCGGGAAUACGUAGGUGGCAAGCGUUGUCCGGAAUUAUUGGGCGUAAAGCGUGCGCAGGCGGUUCGUUAAGACAGAUGUGAAAUCCCCGGGCUUAACCUGGGAACUGCAUUUGUGACUGGCGAGCUAGAGUAUGGCAGAGGGGGGUAGAAUUCCACGUGUAGCAGUGAAAUGCGUAGAGAUGUGGAGGAAUACCGAUGGCGAAGGCAGCCCCCUGGGCCAAUACUGACGCUCAUGCACGAAAGCGUGGGGAGCAAACAGGAUUAGAUACCCGUGUAGUCCCUGUCUCUUAUAC
RNAcentral lists this ribosomal RNA (301 nucleotides) under uncultured bacterium. RNAcentral describes it as "partial 16S ribosomal RNA". It matches the Rfam family "Bacterial small subunit ribosomal RNA", at positions 509 to 807 of the family's 1533-position model. The record is from RNAcentral.